GAUGAACGCUGGCGGCGUGCCUAAUACAUGCAAGUCGAGCGAACAGACGAGGAGCUUGCUCCUCUGACGUUAGCGGCGGACGGGUGAGUAACACGUGGAUAACCUACCUCUCAGACUGGGAUAACUUCGGGAAACCGGCGCUAAUACCGGAUAAUAUAUUGAACCGCAUGGUUCAAUAGUGAAAUACGGUUUUGCUGUCGCUUAUAGAUGGAUCCGCGCCGCAUUAGCUAGUUGGUCAGGUAACGGGUUACCAGGGGGACGAUGCGUAGCCGACCUGAGCGGGGGGUCGGCGACACGGGAAGUGAGACACCGUCCAGAGGCCUACGGGAGGCAGCAGUAGCGAAUCUUCGGCAGGGGGGGAAAGCCUGACGGAGCAGGGCGGAGUGAGUUAUGAAGGCCUUCGGAUCGUAAAGCUCUGCUACUAGGUAAGAACAAAUUUGUAAGUAACUGAACGCUUCUUGACGGUACCUGGACAGAAAGCCCCGGCUAACUACGUG
RNAcentral lists this ribosomal RNA (497 nucleotides) under uncultured bacterium. Its description in RNAcentral is "partial 16S ribosomal RNA". It matches the Rfam family "Bacterial small subunit ribosomal RNA", at positions 28 to 507 of the family's 1533-position model. The record is from RNAcentral.